This 253-nucleotide ribosomal RNA is filed under the name uncultured bacterium. Its description in RNAcentral is "partial 16S ribosomal RNA". It matches the Rfam family "Bacterial small subunit ribosomal RNA", at positions 524 to 776 of the family's 1533-position model. The record is from RNAcentral.
UACGUAGGGUGCAAGCGUUAAUCGGAAUUACUGGGCGUAAAGCGUGCGCAGGCGGUCCGUUAAGACAGAUGUGAAAGCCCCGGGCUCAACCUGGGAAUGGCAGUGGAAACUAGGGGACUGGAAUCUGGCAGAGGGGGGUGGAAUGCCGCGUGUAGCAGUGAAAUGCGUAGAGAUGCGGCGGAACACCGAUGGCGAAGGCAGCCCCCUGGGCUGAGAUUGACGCUCAGGCACGAAAGCGUGGGGAGCAAACAGG